AACGAACGCUGGCGGCAUGCCUAACACAUGCAAGUCGAACGAGACCUUCGGGUCUAGUGGCGCACGGGUGCGUAACGCGUGGGAACCUGCCCUUAGGUUCGGAAUAACUCCCCGAAAGGGGUGCUAAUACCGGAUAAUGUCUUCGGACCAAAGAUUUAUCGCCUUUGGAUGGGCCCGCGUUGGAUUAGCUAGUUGGUAGGGUAAAAGCCUACCAAGGCGACGAUCCAUAGCUGGUCUGAGAGGAUGAUCAGCCACACUGGGACUGAGACACGGCCCAGACUCCUACGGGAGGCAGCAGUGGGGAAUAUUAGACAAUGAGCGAAAGCCUGAUCCAGCAAUGCCGCGUGAGUGAUGAAGGCCUUAGGGUUGUAAAGCUCUUUUACCCGGGAUGAUAAUGACAGUACCGGGAGAAUAAGCUCCGGCUAACUCCGUG
This 433-nucleotide ribosomal RNA is filed under the name uncultured bacterium. RNAcentral describes it as "partial 16S ribosomal RNA". It matches the Rfam family "Bacterial small subunit ribosomal RNA", at positions 29 to 507 of the family's 1533-position model. The record is from RNAcentral.